RNAcentral lists this ribosomal RNA (405 nucleotides) under uncultured bacterium. RNAcentral's name for it is "partial 16S ribosomal RNA". It matches the Rfam family "Bacterial small subunit ribosomal RNA", at positions 28 to 526 of the family's 1533-position model. The record is from RNAcentral.
GAUGAACGCUGGCGGCGUGCCUAAUACAUGCAAGUCGAGCGAAGCGGGGACGGGGGAGUAACACGUGGAUAACCUCCUUUACGUCCGGGAUAACUUCGGGUAACCGGUGCAAAAACGGCUACUGAUAGAUGGAUCCGUGCUGCAUUAGCUAGGUGGUAAGGUAACGGCUUACCAAGGCAACGAUGCAUAGCCGACCGGAGAGGGUGAUCGGCCACACUGGAACUGAGACACGGCCCAGACUCCUACGGGAGGCAGCAGUAGGGAAUCUUCCGCAAUGGGAGAAAGCCUGACCGAGCAACGCCGCGUGAGUGAAGAAGGUCUUCGGAUCGUAAAACUCUGUUAUUAGGGAAGCGGUACCUAAUCAGAAAGCCACGGCUAACUACGUGCCAGCAGCCGCGGUAAUAC